GCACGAAGAAGUACAAAAUAUGCAUAAAGAGAAAGAAGAACAUCACUCGCUAGUAAUUCGACCAAGGUUACAAACACGCGUGCUCACCUGACCAAGGCUACAGACGUGCGUGUGAUUCCAGACUUUGUGUAGUGGGAUUUUAUUUUUUAGGUUUAUGUGGGUUUUAAUUUUUAAGGGCAUUUAUGUCUAUUUAUGUGAGUUUUUAGUUAUAUUUGAAAGAUUUUAUAAAAAUUGACAUUUUUUAAAGUGGGUAAAUUUUGGUUUUUUUUUUUAUUAUCACAAAACGUCCAAGAGGUUUACGAAACUAUCAGAUUACGUCUUUUUUUUUUUUUUGGUUAUUCGUGGUCCUCAAGGUUUAUAUGCGUGCUCACAAAUAGUGCUUCCAUAAAAAAUUCAGUUAGUUUGCAAAUGUAGCAUAUAUAUCGAAC
RNAcentral lists this long non-coding RNA (428 nucleotides) under Prunus persica (peach). Its description in RNAcentral is "long non-coding RNA (PPER_LNC004403)". Lineage: Eukaryota; Viridiplantae; Streptophyta; Magnoliopsida; Rosales; Rosaceae. The record is from RNAcentral.